RNAcentral lists this ribosomal RNA (307 nucleotides) under uncultured bacterium. RNAcentral describes it as "bacterial SSU rRNA". It matches the Rfam family "Bacterial small subunit ribosomal RNA", at positions 28 to 334 of the family's 1533-position model. The record is from RNAcentral.
GACGAACGCUGGCGGCGUGCCUAACACAUGCAAGUCGAGCGAGUGGAGUUCUUCGGAACAAAGCUAGCGGCGGACGGGUGAGUAACACGUGGGCAACCUGCCUCAUAGAGGGGAAUAGCCUUCCGAAAGGGAGAUUAAUACCGCAUAAGAUUGUAGCUUCGCAUGAAGUAGCAAUUAAAGGAGCAAUCCGCUAUGAGAUGGGCCCGCGGCGCAUUAGCUAGUUGGUGAGGUAACGGCUCACCAAGGCGACGAUGCGUAGCCGACCUGAGAGGGUGAUCGGCCACAUUGGGACUGAGACACGGCCCAG